This 506-nucleotide ribosomal RNA is filed under the name uncultured bacterium. RNAcentral describes it as "partial 16S ribosomal RNA". It matches the Rfam family "Bacterial small subunit ribosomal RNA", at positions 29 to 523 of the family's 1533-position model. The record is from RNAcentral.
AGUGAACGCUGGCGGCAGGCCUAACACAUGCAAGUCGAACGGCAGCACAGGAGAGCUUGCUCUCUGGGUGGCGAGUGGCGGACGGGUGAGGAUAGCGUCGGAAUCUGCCUAUUUGUGGGGGAUAACCUCGGGAAACCGGGACUAAUACCGCAUACGACCUACGGGGGAAAGCGGAGGACCUUCGGGCUUCGCGCAGAUAGAUGAGCCGACGCCGGAUUAGCUAGUUGGCGGGGUAAGGGCCCACCAAGGCGACGAUCCGUAGCUGGUCUGAGAGGAUGAUCAGACACACUGGAACUGAGAAACGGUCCAGACUCCUACGGGAGGCAGCAGUGGGGAAUAUUGGACAAUGGGCGCAAGCCUGAUCCAGCCAUGCCGCGUGGGUGAAGAAGGCCUUCGGGUUGUAAAGCCCUUUUGUUGGGAAAGAAAAGCAGCCGGUUAAUACCCGGUUGUCAUGACGGUACCCAAAGAAUAAGCACCGGCUAACUUCGUGCCAGCCGCCGCGGUAA